CUUCUAUGUCAAACAAGUUGCAGAGCUAAUAUGAGCACAUGCCCACCGCUCGUGCCAUAAUCACUCACCUGUAAGAGUUGUACGAUGAGCAGAGCCAAAUCGUGUACUUCUAAUUGUCCAAGCAGUUGUUCAAUAUGAAGAUGCAUGACAGACAAUCAAUCCACGAUCAUUAUAUGACAAUGAUCAAGGACCUUAAAGAGCUUGAGAAGCUCAGG
This 215-nucleotide long non-coding RNA is filed under the name Elaeis guineensis (African oil palm). RNAcentral's name for it is "long non-coding RNA (EGUI_LNC047482)". The record is from RNAcentral. Lineage: Eukaryota; Viridiplantae; Streptophyta; Magnoliopsida; Arecales; Arecaceae.